GAUGAACGCUGGCGGCGUGCCUAAUACAUGCAAGUCGAGCGAACGGACGAGAAGCUUGCUUUUCUGAUGUUAGCGGCGGACGGGUGAGUAACACGUGGAUAACCUACCUAUAAGACUGGGAUAACUUCGGGACACCGGAGCUAAUACCGGAUAAUAUUUUGAACCGCAUUGUUCAAAAGUGAAAGACGGUCUUGCUGUCACUUCUCGAUGGAUCCGCGCUGCAUUAGCUAGUUGGUAAGGUCACGGCUUACCAAGGCAACGAUGCAUAGCCGACCUGAGAGAGGGAUCGGCCACACUGGAAGUGAGACACGGUCCAGAGUCCUACGGGAGGCAGCAGUAGGGAAUCUUACGCAAUGGGCGAAAGCCUGACGGAGCAACGCCGCGUGAGUGAUGAAGGUCUUCGGAGCGUAAAACUCUGUUACUAGGGAAGAACAGAUGUGUAAGUAACUGUGCACAUCGUGACGGUACCGAAUCAGAAAGCCACGGCUAACUACGUG
RNAcentral lists this ribosomal RNA (497 nucleotides) under uncultured bacterium. RNAcentral describes it as "partial 16S ribosomal RNA". It matches the Rfam family "Bacterial small subunit ribosomal RNA", at positions 28 to 507 of the family's 1533-position model. The record is from RNAcentral.